This 253-nucleotide ribosomal RNA is filed under the name uncultured Lachnospiraceae bacterium. RNAcentral describes it as "partial 16S ribosomal RNA". It matches the Rfam family "Bacterial small subunit ribosomal RNA", at positions 524 to 776 of the family's 1533-position model. Lineage: Bacteria; Bacillati; Bacillota; Clostridia; Lachnospirales; Lachnospiraceae. The record is from RNAcentral.
UACGUAGGGAGCAAGCGUUGUCCGGAUUUACUGGGUGUAAAGGGUGCGUAGGCGGCUUAGCAAGUCAGAAGUGAAAUCCAUGGGCUUAACCCAUGAACUGCUUUUGAAACUGCCAUGCUAGAGUGCUGGAGAGGUAAGUGGAAUUCCUAGUGUAGCGGUGAAAUGCGUAGAUAUUAGGAGGAACACCAGUGGCGAAGGCGGCUUACUGGACAGUAACUGACGUUGAGGCUCGAAAGCGUGGGGAGCAAACAGG